UAUUAGAAAUUUCAGGGCUGGCCAAAUAGCUCAGUGGAUUCAAGUGCCUACUUAGGCAGAUGCAGGGGAACCAUGAGGAGGAGGCGGAGUGUUCUUCCAUGAGCAUGAAGCCAGCUCUCGGUGUUGCUUUGCUGCAACUGCUGCUUGCUGUUGAUGAUCGUUCUUGCUUCCUGCCUGGAGGGUGCAAGAGGGAAGGAACACAGUCUGAGUGGG
Octodon degus (degu) is the source of this 213-nucleotide small nucleolar RNA. Its record names the gene U3. It matches the Rfam family "Small nucleolar RNA U3". From Rfam's summary of the family: Small nucleolar RNAs (snoRNAs) are involved in the processing and modification of rRNA in the nucleolus. There are two main classes of snoRNAs: the box C/D class, and the box H/ACA class. Lineage: Eukaryota; Metazoa; Chordata; Mammalia; Rodentia; Octodontidae. The record is from Ensembl.